This 482-nucleotide ribosomal RNA is filed under the name uncultured bacterium. Its description in RNAcentral is "partial 16S ribosomal RNA". It matches the Rfam family "Bacterial small subunit ribosomal RNA", at positions 28 to 507 of the family's 1533-position model. The record is from RNAcentral.
GACGAACGCUGGCGGCGUGCUUAACACAUGCAAGUCGAACGCUGAAGCUCAGCUUGCUGGGUGGAUGAGUGGCGAACGGGUGAGUAACACGUGAGUAACCUGCCCUCUUCUUUGGGAUAACGCCCGGAAACGGGUGCUAAUACUGGAUAUUCACUGAUUCUCGCAUGGGGGUUGGUGGAAAGGUUUUUUCUGGUGGGGUAUGGGCUCGCGGCCUAUCAGCUUGUUGGUGGGGUGAUGGCCUACCAAGGCUUUGACGGGUAGCCGGCCUGAGAGGGUGACCGGUCACAUUGGGACUGAGAUACGGCCCAGACUCCUACGGGAGGCAGCAGUGGGGAAUAUUGCACAAUGGGCGAAAGCCUGAUGCAGCGACGCCGCGUGAGGGAUGGAGGCCUUCGGGUUGUAAACCUCUUUCGCUCAUGGGCAAGCCGCAGCUUUGGGUUGUGGUGAGGGUAGUGGGUAAAGAAGCGCCGGCUAACUACGUG